This 194-nucleotide ribosomal RNA is filed under the name uncultured bacterium. Its description in RNAcentral is "partial 16S ribosomal RNA". It matches the Rfam family "Bacterial small subunit ribosomal RNA", at positions 1307 to 1500 of the family's 1533-position model. The record is from RNAcentral.
GCAACUCGCCUGCAUGAAGUCGGAAUUGCUAGUAAUCGCGGAUCAGCAUGCCGCGGUGAAUACGUUCCCGGGCCUUGUACACACCGCCCGUCACACCAUGAGAGCCGGUAACACCCGAAGUCAGAAGCCUAACCGCAAGGAGGGCGCUGCCGAAGGUGGGAUUGGUAAUUGGGGUGAAGUCGUAACAAGGUAGC